Molecule: ribosomal RNA, 325 nt
Filed under: Weissella sp. 1E1
Lineage: Bacteria; Bacillati; Bacillota; Bacilli; Lactobacillales; Lactobacillaceae
Description: bacterial SSU rRNA
Rfam family: Bacterial small subunit ribosomal RNA
Source: RNAcentral
AACGCUGGCGGCGUGCUAAUACAUGCAAGUCGAACGCUUUGUGGUUCAACUGAUUUGAAGAGCUUGCUCAGAUAUGACGAUGGACAUUGCAAAGAGUGGCGAACGGGUGAGUAACACGUGGGAAACCUACCUCUUAGCAGGGGAUAACAUUUGGAAACAGAUGCUAAUACCGUAUAACAAUAGCAACCGCAUGGUUGCUACUUAAAAGAUGGUUCUGCUAUCACUAAGAGAUGGUCCCGCGGUGCAUUAGUUAGUUGGUGAGGUAAUGGCUCACCAAGACGAUGAUGCAUAGCCGAGUUGAGAGACUGAUCGGCCACAUUGGGAC